RNAcentral lists this non-coding RNA (215 nucleotides) under Caloramator australicus. Its description in RNAcentral is "T-box sequence". It matches the Rfam family "T-box leader". Rfam says of the family: Uncharged tRNA acts as the effector for transcription antitermination of genes in the T-box leader family. T-boxes are found upstream of many aminoacyl-tRNA synthetase genes and some amino acid biosynthetic genes usually in Gram-positive bacteria. The anticodon of a specific tRNA base pairs to a specifier sequence within the T-box motif, and the NCCA acceptor tail of the tRNA base pairs to a conserved bulge in the T-box antiterminator hairpin. Lineage: Bacteria; Bacillati; Bacillota; Clostridia; Eubacteriales; Clostridiaceae. The record is from RNAcentral.
AUAAAUCCAAUGAGGGGAGCAAGUAGGCUUAAAAAGGAGCUUACAGAGAGCCGCUGCUGGUGGAAAUGCGGUAGCAUCCCUUAAGCCGAAUGGGUCCCUAAGGAGCAUGGUGAAUCAAGUAGCCAGAGCCGUUUGCCUUACGUUAUAAAGGCUUUUACAACGAGGGGAAUAUAUUUCCUGAAAAUAGGUGGCACCGCGCACCAUGCGCCCUAUAC